Molecule: ribosomal RNA, 749 nt
Filed under: uncultured fungus
Lineage: Eukaryota; Fungi
Description: eukaryotic LSU rRNA
Rfam family: 5.8S ribosomal RNA (bases 211-364)
Source: RNAcentral
CAUUAAUGAAUUGUAAUGGGGUUGAUGCUGGUGGCCGUCUAGUUCGGCCGCAUGUGCUCGCUUCCAACAAUCUUUAUCCAAACACCUGUGCACUUCUGAGGGUUUCCGAGUCGACCGCCAAUCUUGUCGUGGUUUUCUUGGAUUCCCUUCAUACACACACACGAAAUGUAAUGCUGAACGUGAUUGUGCCGCAAGGCCUUAAUAAAAUACAACUUUUAACAACGGAUCUCUUGGUUCUCGCAUCGAUGAAGAACGCAGCGAAAUGCGAUAAGUAAUGUGAGUUGCAGAAUUCAGUGAAUCAUCGAAUCUUUGAACGCACCUUGCGCUCCCUGGUAUUCCGGGGAGCACGCCUGUUCGAGUGUCGUGAAUACCCUCAAGCUUUGGUGCUUUUUCUAAAAAGUAACCACUGGCUUGGUUGUUGGGCUUUGCCGUGUCCUUCAUUGGGACGGCUGGCCUUAAAGGCAUUAGCUGGCCCUCAUGUAGUGUUGGUUCUACUCAGCGUGAUAAUGAUCUGACCGCUGAGGACAUCUUUCGGGAUGGCCAGUCUCAUUUGGGCUGCUUCCAAUCCGGUUUUGCAGGUUCUUCAAUCUGCUCCAUUCUCGACUUUGACCUCGAAUCAGGUGGGACUACCCGCUGAACUUAAGCAUAUCAAUAAGCGGAGGAAAAGAAACUAACAAGGAUUCCCCUAGUAACGGCGAGUGAAGCGGGAAGAGCUCAAAUUUAAAAUCUGGCAGCCUUCGGCUGUCCGA